UGAUUGCAUAUGGUUUACAAGGCAAUACACCAGUGGAGCUACAAAUAUGAUAGAAAUAUAAGGCAAGAGAUGGCCGUUAAGGCAUGCCUGUCAAAUGGGUUCUUUAUCCUUACUCCCAAGACACAACUCGCUCCAUUUUGACUUGUGGGUCAGUUCACAAGUGGUGUUCUAAUUACUGCUGGCAUGUCGCCUUCGUGUAUCAUCUUUUAUUUGAUAGCCGAGUUCCUCCUGCAGGCAAGUAUGACAUCCAUAUGUGGUUUAUAUAUGUUUAAUGUGCUUUUGAAUCCUAGUUUCAGAACAAUUCAGUACCAACUAUCUGUGGACCUGCAGAGAUAAGUGCAGAUUAGUAGUGCUCCAGUCUCCUGUGCUUUCAUAGGAACAGUCUGGUGUUUUGUGUUACUUUGUAUUGCAUCCAGCAAGUUAUAACCUACUUUUAGGGAGAUAGAUCGUUGUCGGUGUGCACCAUUGGUAUUUUGUCAUCAUUUUGUUGCAGAGUCCUGUGUGAAGCCCAUUAUUAUAAAAAAGAAGCAAGAUAGAUCUGGAUGAUGCAUCAUGAAUUAGUGUGGCCAUGUAAUUAUUAUAAAAGUAUUUCCGAUAAAUUGCCAUGAUCAUUAAACUUGUUCACAGAACUUGUUGCUGUGGUCCCUAGCUGAUUUGUUCUUUAAUUUAGAGUUGGUCUUUUUU
RNAcentral lists this long non-coding RNA (684 nucleotides) under Triticum aestivum (bread wheat). Its description in RNAcentral is "long non-coding RNA (TAES_LNC025223)". Lineage: Eukaryota; Viridiplantae; Streptophyta; Magnoliopsida; Poales; Poaceae. The record is from RNAcentral.